RNAcentral lists this ribosomal RNA (475 nucleotides) under Karlodinium veneficum. RNAcentral's name for it is "bacterial SSU rRNA". It matches the Rfam family "Eukaryotic small subunit ribosomal RNA", at positions 157 to 855 of the family's 1831-position model. Lineage: Eukaryota; Dinophyceae; Gymnodiniales; Kareniaceae. The record is from RNAcentral.
UCUAGAGCUAAUACAUGCGCCCAAACCCGACUUCGUGGAAGGGUUGUGUUUAUUAGAUACAGAACCAACCCAGGUUCGCCCUGGUAUUGUGGUGAUUCAUAGUAACCGAACGAAUCGCAUAGCUUCCGCUGGCGAUAAAUCAUUCAAGUUUCUGACCUAUCAGCUUCCGACGGUAGGGUAUUGGCCUACCGUGGCAAUGACGGGUAAUUCCAGCUCCAAUAGCGUAUAUUAAAGUUGUUGCGGUUAAAAAGCUCGUAGUUGGAUUUCUGCCGAGGACGACCGGUCCGCCCUCUGGGUGCGUAUCUGGCUCGGCCUGGGCAUCUUCUUGGAGAACGUAUCUGCACUUGACUGUGUGGUGCGGUAUCCAGGACUUUUACUUUGAGGAAAUUAGAGUGUUUCAAGCAGGCACACGCCUUGAAUACAUUAGCAUGGAAUAAUAAGAUAGGACCUCGGUUCUAUUUUGUUGGUUUCUAGA